AACGCGAAGAACAUUANCAGGGCUUGACAUCCCUCUGACCGGCGCGUAACGGUGCCUUUCCUUCGGGACAGAGGAGACAGGUGGUGCAUGGUUGUNGUCAGCUCGUGUCGUGAGAUGUUGGGUUAAGUCCCGCAACGAGCGCAACCCUUGUCAUUAGUUGCCAGCAGUUCGGCUGGGCACUCUAGUGAGACUGCCGGGGAUAACUCGGAGGAAGGUGGGGAUGACGUCAAAUCAUCAUGCCCCUUAUGUUCUGGGCUACACACGUGCUACAAUGGCUGGUACAAAGAGAAGCGAGACGGUGACGUGGAGCAAAUCUCAAAAACCAGUCCCAGUUCGGAUUGUA
RNAcentral lists this ribosomal RNA (343 nucleotides) under uncultured bacterium. RNAcentral describes it as "bacterial SSU rRNA". It matches the Rfam family "Bacterial small subunit ribosomal RNA", at positions 958 to 1302 of the family's 1533-position model. The record is from RNAcentral.